RNAcentral lists this long non-coding RNA (242 nucleotides) under Elaeis guineensis (African oil palm). Its description in RNAcentral is "long non-coding RNA (EGUI_LNC075944)". Lineage: Eukaryota; Viridiplantae; Streptophyta; Magnoliopsida; Arecales; Arecaceae. The record is from RNAcentral.
GAGGCAAAUUAGCCAACUAGCUAGCUAGAGAAGCAGGGUAGGACUUAAACAAGAACCUAAAUUUUUGAUGAAUUAUAGAAGGAUAUCUCUGCUGGUUUCACCCAAGGAAUAGUAACUGUGUUGCCUAGGGCUGGAAAGUUCUUUCUGUAAAAGCUGGUGGAAUAUAUUGUGGCUAGAACAAGAACAUUAUGCAGUUCUUAAGCUACAAGAUACUUGCAAGGCUAGGGCAUGUGACUGAGUUU